UGGGUCAGGGUUAGGUUUAGGGUUGGAGCUAGGGUUAGGGUUAGGGUUAGUGUUGGAGCUAGGGUUAGGGUUGGGCUUGGAGCUAGGAUUUGUCUGAGUGCAAUGAACCAACUCCCGAGUCUCUAGGACGUUCCUAAAAAAAUUUGAUUUUUUCCCAUAGGAAUGCAUGGGUUAGGGUUAGGGUUAGGGUUGGAGCUAGGGUUAGGGUUAGGGUUAGGGUUGGAGUUAAGGUUAGUGUUGGAGCUAGGGUUAGGGUUGGGCUUGGAGCUAGGAUUUUUCUGAGUGCAGUGAACCAACUCCCGAGUCUCUAGGACGUUCCUAAAAAAAUUUGAUUUUUUCCCAUAGGAAUGCAUGGGUUAGGGUUAUGGUUAGGGUUAGGGUUGGAGCUAGGGUUAGGGUUAGGGUUAGGGUUGGAGUUAGGGUUAGUGUUGGAGCUAGGGUUAGGGUUGGGCUUGGAGCUAGGAUUUUUCUGAGUGCAAUGAACCAACCCCCGAGUCUCUAGGACGUUCCUAGAAAAAUUUGAUUUUUUCCCAUAGGAAUGCAUGGGUUAGGGUUAUGGUUAGGGUUAGGGUUGGAGCUAGGGUUAGGGUUAGGGUUAGGGUUGGAGUUAGGGUUAGUGUUGGAGCUAGGGUUAGGGUUGGGCUUGGAGCUAGGAUUUUUCUGAGUGCAAUGAACCAACUCCCGAGUCUCUAGGACGUUCCUAAAAAAAUUUGAUUUUUUCCCAUAGGAAUGCAUGGGUUAGGGUUAGGGUUAGGGUUGGAGCUAGGGUUAGGGUUAGGGUUGGAGUUAGGGUUAGUGUUGGAGCUAGGGUUAGGGUUGGGCUUGGAGCUAGGAUUUUUCUGAGUGCAAUGAACCAACUCCCGAGUCUCUAGGACGUUCCUAAAAAAAUUUGAUUUUUCCCAUAGGAAUGCAUGGGUCAGGGUUAGGGUUAGGGUUGGAGCUAGGGUUAGGGUUAGGGUUAGGGUUGGAGUUAGGGUUAGUGUUGGAGCUAGGGUUAGGGUUGGGCUUGGAGCUAGGAUUUUUCUGAGUGCACUGAACCAACUCCCGAGUCUCUAGGACAUUCCUAAAAAAAUUUGAUUUUUUCCCAUAGGAAUGCAUGGGUUAGGGUUAGGGUUAGGGUUGGAGCUAGGGUUAGGGUUAGGGUUAGGGUUGGAGUUAGGGUUAGUGUUGGAGCUAGGGUUAGGGUUGGGCUUGGAGCUAGGAUUUUUCUGAGUGCACUGAACCAACUCCCGAGUCUCUAGGACAUUCCUAAAAAAAUUUGAUUUUUUCCCAUAGGAAUGCAUGGGUUAGGGUUAUGGUUAGGGUUAGGGUUGGAGCUAGGGUUAGGGUUAGGGUUAGGGUUGGAGUUAGGGUUAGGGUUAGUGUUGGAGCUAGGGUUAGGGUUGGGCUUGGAGCUAGGAUUUUUCUGAGUGCAAUGAACCAACUCCCGAGUCUCUAGGACGUUCCCUAAAAAAAUUUGAUUUUUUCCCAUAGGAAUGCAUGGGUUAGGGUUAGGGUUAGGGUUAGGGUUGGAGCUAGGGUUAGGGUUAGGGUUAGGGUUGGAGUUAGGGUUAGUGUUGGAGCUAGGGUUAGGGUUGGGCUUGGAGCUAGGAUUUUUCUGAGUGCAAUGAACCAACUCCCGAGUCUCUAGGACGUUCCAAAAAAAAUUUGAUUUUUUCCCAUAGGAAUGCAUGGGUUAGGGUUAUGGUUAGGGUUAGGGUUGGAGCUAGGGUUAGGGUUAGGGUUAGGGUUGGAGUUAGGGUUAGUGUUGGCGCUAGGGUUAGGGUUGGGCUUGGAGCUAGGAUUUUUCUGAGUGCAAUGAACCAACUCCCGAGUCUCUAGGACGUUCCUAAAAAAAUUUGAUUUUUUCCCAUAGGAAUGCAUGGGUUAGGGUUAGGGUUAGGGUUGGAGCUAGGGUUAGGGUUAGGGUUAGGGUUGGAGUUAGGGUUAGUGUUGGAGCUAGGGUUAGGGUUGGGCUUGGAGCUAGGAUUUUUCUGAGUGCACUGAACCAACUCCCGAGUCUCUAGGACAUUCCUAAAAAAAUUUGAUUUUUUUCCCAUAGGAAUGCAUGGGUUAGGGUUAUGGUUAGGGUUAGGGUUGGAGCUAGGGUUAGGGUUAGGGUUAGGGUUGGAGUUAGGGUUAGUGUUGGAGCUAGGGUUAGGGUUGGGCUUGGAGCUAGGACUUUUCUGAGUGCAAUGAACCAACUCCCGAGUCUCUAGGACGUUCCCUAAAAAAAUUUGAUUUUUUCCCAUAGGAAUGCAUGGGUUAGGGUUAGGGUUAGGGUUGGAGCUAGGGUUAGGGUUAGGGUUAGGGUUGGAGUUAGGGUUAGUGUUGGAGCUAGGGUUAGGGUUGGGCUUGGAGCUAGGAUUUUUCUGAGUGCAAUGAACCAACUCCCGAGUCUCUAGGACGUUCCUAAAAAAAUUUGAUUUUUUCCCAUAGGAAUGCAUGGGUUAGGGUUAGGGUUAGGGUUGGAGCUAGGGUUAGGGUUAGGGUUAGGGUUGGAGUUAGGGUUAGUGUUGGAGCUAGGGUUAGGGUUGGGCUUGGAGCUAGGAUUUUUCUGAGUGCAAUGAACAAACUCCCGAGUCUCUAGGAAGUUCCUAAAAAAAUUUGAUUUUUUCCCAUAGGAAUGCAUGGGUUAGGGUUAGGGUUAGGGUUGGAGCUAGGGUUAGGGUUAGGGUUAGGGUUGGAGUUAGGGUUAGUGUUGGAGCUAGGGUUAGGGUUGGGCUUGGAGCUAGGAUUUUUCUGAGUGCAGUGAACCAACUCCCGAGUCUCUAGGACGUUCCUAAAAAAAUUUGAUUUUUUCCCAUAGGAAUGCAUGGGUCAGGGUUAGGGUUAGGGUUGGAGCUAGGGUUAGGGUUAGGGUUAGGGUUGGAGUUAGGGUUAGUGUUGGAGCUAGGGUUAGGGUUGGGCUUGGAGCUAGGAUUUUUCUGAGUGCAAUGAACCAACUCCCGAGUCUCUAGGACGUUCCUAAAAAAAUUUGAUUUUUUCCCAUAGGAAUGCAUGGGUUAGGGUUAGGGUUAGGGUUGGAGCUAGGGUUAGGGUUAGGGUUAGGGUUGGAGUUAGGGUUAGUGUUAGAGCUAGGGUAAGGUUUGGGCUUGGAGCUAGGAUUUUUCUGAGUGCAAUGAACCAACUCCCGAGUCUCUAGGACGUUCCUAAAAAAAUUUGAUUUUUUCCCAUAGGAAUGCAUGGGUUAGGGUUAGGGUUAGGGUUGGAGCUAGGGUUAGGGUUAGGGUUAGGGUUGGAGUUAGGGUUAGUGUUGGAGCUAGGGUUAGGGUUGGGCUUGGAGCUAGGAUUUUUCUGAGUGCAAUGAACCAACUCCCGAGUCUCUAGGACGUUCCUAAAAAAAUUUGAUUUUUUCCCAUAGGAAUGCAUGGGUUAGGGUUAGGGUUGGAGCUAGUGUUAGGGUUAGGGUUGGAGCUAGGGUUAGGGUUAGGGUUAGGGUUGGAGUUAGGGUUAGUGUUGGAGCUAGGGUUAGGUUUGGGCUUGGAGCUAGGAUUUUUCUGAGUGCAAUGAACCAACUCCCGAGUCUCUAGGACGUUCCUAUAAAAAUUUGAUUUUUUCCCAUAGGAAUGCAUGGGUUAGGGUUAGGGUUAGGGUUGGAGCUAGGGUUAGGGUUAGGGUUAGGGUUGGAGUUAGGGUUAGUGUUGGAGCUAGGGUUAGGGUUGGGCUUGGAGCUAGGAUUUUUCUGAGUGCAAUGAACCAACUCCCGAGUCUCUAGGACGUUCCUAAAAAAAUUUGAUUUUUUCCCAUAGGAAUGCAUGGGUUAGGGUUAUGGUUAGGGUUAGGGUUGGAGCUAGGGUUAGGGUUAGGGUUAGGGUUGGAGUUAGGGUUAGUGUUGGAGCUAGGGUUAGGGUUGGGCUUGGAGCUAGGACUUUUCUGAGUGCAAUGAACCAACUCCCGAGUCUCUAGGACGUUCCCUAAAAAAAUUUGAUUUUUUCCCAUAGGAAUGCAUGGGUUAGGGUUAGGGUUAGGGUUGGAGCUAGGGUUAGGGUUAGGGUUAGGGUUGGAGUUAGGGUUAGUGUUGGAGCUAGGGUUAGGGUUGGGCUUGGAGCUAGGAUUUUUCUGAGUGCAAUGAACCAACUCCCGAGUCUCUAGGACGUUCCUAAAAAAAUUUGAUUUUUUCCCAUAGGAAUGCAUGGGUUAGGGUUAGGGUUAGGGUUGGAGCUAGGGUUAGGGUUAGGGUUAGGGUUGGAGUUAGGGUUAGUGUUGGAGCUAGGGUUAGGGUUGGGCUUGGAGCUAGGAUUUUUCUGAGUGCAAUGAACCAACUCCCGAGUCUCUAGGAAGUUCCUAAAAAAAUUUGAUUUUUUCCCAUAGGAAUGCAUGGGUUAGGGUUAGGGUUAGGGUUGGAGCUAGGGUUAGGGUUAGGGUUAGGGUUGGAGUUAGGGUUAGUGUUGGAGCGAGGGUUAGGGUUGGGCUUGGAGCUAGGAUUUUUCUGAGUGCAGUGAACCAACUCCCGAGUCUCUAGGACGUUCCUAAAAAAAUUUGAUUUUUUCCCAUAGGAAUGCAUGGGUCAGGGUUAGGGUUAGGGUUGGAGCUAGGGUUAGGGUUAGGGUUAGGGUUGGAGUUAGGGUUAGUGUUGGAGCUAGGGUUAGGGUUGGGCUUGGAGCUAGGAUUUUUCUGAGUGCAAUGAACCAACUCCCGAGUCUCUAGGACGUUCCUAAAAAAAUUUGAUUUUUUCCCAUAGGAAUGCAUGGGUUAGGGUUAGGGUUAGGGUUGGAGCUAGGGUUAGGGUUAGGGUUAGGGUUGGAGUUAGGGUUAGUGUUAGAGCUAGGGUAAGGUUUGGGCUUGGAGCUAGGAUUUUUCUGAGUGCAAUGAACCAACUCCCGAGUCUCUAGGACGUUCCUAAAAAAAUUUGAUUUUUUCCCAUAGGAAUGCAUGGGUUAGGGUUAGGGUUAGGGUUGGAGCUAGGGUUAGGGUUAGGGUUAGGGUUGCAGUUAGGGUUAGUGUUGGAGCUAGGGUAAGGGUUGGGCUUGGAGCUAGGAUUUUUCUGAGUGCAAUGAACCAACUCCCGAGUCUCUAGGACGUUCCUAAAAAAAUUUGAUUUUUUUCCAUAGGAAUGCAUGGGUUAGGGUUAGGGUUGGAGCUAGUGUUAGGGUUAGGGUUGGAGCUAGGGUUAGGGUUAGGGUUAGGGUUGGAGUUAGGGUAAGUGUUGGAGCUAGGGUUAGGUUUGGGCUUGGAGCUAGGAUUUUUCUGAGUGCAAUGAACCAACUCCCGAGUCUCUAGGACGUUCCUAUAAAAAUUUGAUUUUUUCCCAUAGGAAUGCAUGGGUUAGGGUUAGGGUUAGGGUUGGAGCUAGGGUUAGGGUUAGGGUUAGGGUUGGAGUUAGGGUUAGUGUUGGAGCUAGGGUUAGGGUUGGGCUUGGAGCUAGGAUUUUUCUGAGUGCAAUGAACCAACUCCCGAGUCUCUAGGACGUUCCUAAAAAAAUUUGAUUUUUUCCCAUAGGAAUGCAUGGGUUAGGGUUAGGGUUAGGGUUGGAGCUAGGGUUAGGGUUAGGGUUAGGGUUGGAGUUAAGGUUAGUGUUGGAGCUAGGGUUAGGGUUGGGCUUGGAGCUAGGAUUUUUCUGAGUGCAGUGAACCAACUCCCGAGUCUCUAGGACGUUCCUAAAAAAAUUUGAUUUUUUCCCAUAGGAAUGCAUGGGUUAGGGUUAUGGUUAGGGUUAGGGUUGGAGCUAGGGUUAGGGUUAGGGUUAGGGUUGGAGUUAGGGUUAGUGUUGGAGCUAGGGUUAGGGUUGGGCUUGGAGCUAGGAUUUUUCUGAGUGCAAUGAACCAACUCCCGAGUCUCUAGGACGUUCCUAAAAAAAUUUGAUUUUUUCCCAUAGGAAUGCAUGGGUUAGGGUUAUGGUUAGGGUUAGGGUUGGAGCUAGGGUUAGGGUUAGGGUUAGGGUUGGAGUUAGGGUUAAUGUUGGAGCUAGGGUUAGGGUUGGGCUUGGAGAUAGGAUUUUUCUGAGUGCAAUGAACCAACUCCCGAGUCUCUAGGACGUUCCUAAAAAAAAUUGAUUUUUUCCCAUAGGAAUGCAUGGGUUAGGGUUAGGGUUAGGGUUGGAGCUAGGGUUAGGGUUAGGGUUGGAGUUAGGGUUAGUGUUGGAGCUAGGGUUAGGGUUGGGCUUGGAGCUAGGAUUUUUCUGAGUGCACUGAACCAACUCCCGAGUCUCUAGGACAUUCCUAAAAAAAUUUGAUUUUUUUCCCAUAGGAAUGCAUGGGUUAGGGUUAUGGUUAGGGUUAGGGUUGGAGCUAGGGUUAGGGUUAGGGUUAGGGUUGGAGUUAGGGUUAGUGUUGGAGCUAGGGUUAGGGUUGGGCUUGGAGCUAGGAUUUUUCUGAGUGCAAUGAACCAACUCCCGAGUCUCUUGGACGUUCCUAAAAAAAUUUGAUUUUUUCCCAUAGGAAUGCAUGGGUUAGGGUUAGGGUUAGGGUUGGAGCUAGGGUUAGGGUUAGGGUUGGAGUUAGGGUUAGUGUUGGAGCUAGGGUUAGGGUUGGGCUUGGAGCUAGGAUUUUUCUGAGUGCAAUGAACCAACUCCCGAGUCUCUAGGACGUUCCUAAAAAAAUUUGAGUUUUUCCCAUAGGAAUGCAUGGGUUAGGGUUAUGGUUAGGGUUGGAGCUAGGGUUAGGGUUAGGGUUAGGGUUGGAGUUAGGGUUAGUGUUGGAGCUAGGGUUAGGGUUGGGCUUGGAGCUAGGAUUUUUCUGAGUGCAAUGAACCAACUCCCGAGUCUCUAGGACGUUCCUAAAAAAAUUUGAUUUUUUCCCAUAGGAAUGCAUGGGUUAGGGUUAGGGUUAGGGUUGGAGCUAGGGUUAGGGUUAGGGUUAGGGUUGGAGUUAGGGUUAGUGUUGGAGCUAGGGUAAGGUUUGGGCUUGGAGCUAGGAUUUUUCUGAGUGCAAUGAACCAACUCCCGAGUCUCUAGGACGUUCCUAAAAAAAUUUGAUUUUUUUCCCAUAGGAAUGCAUGGGUUAGGGUUAGGGUUAGGGUUGGAGCUAGGGUUAGGGUUAGGGUUAGGGUUGGAGUUAGGGUUAGUGUUGGAGCUAGGGUUAGGGUUGGGCUUGGAGCUAGGAUUUUUCUGGGUGCAAUGAACCAACUCCCGACUCUCUAGGACGUUCCUAAAAAAAUUUGAUUUUUUCCCAUAGGAAUGCAUGGGUUAGGGUUAUGGUUAGGGUUAGGGUUGGAGCUAGGGUUAGGGUUAGGGUUAGGGUUGGAGUUAGGGUUAGUGUUGGAGCUAGGGUUAGGGUUGGGCUUGGAGCUAGGAUUUUUCUGAGUGCAAUGAACCAACUCCCGAGUCUCGAGGACGUUCCAAAAAAAAUUUGAUUUUUUCCCAUAGGAAUGCAUGGGUUAGGGUUAUGGUUAGGGUUGGAGCUAGGGUUAGGGUUAGGGUUAGGGUUGGAGUUAAGGUUAGUGUUGGAGCUAGGGUUAGGGUUGGGCUUGGAGCUAGGAUUUUUCUGAGUGCAGUGAACCAACUCCCGAGUCUCUAGGACGUUCCUAAAAAAAUUUGAUUUUUUCCCAUAGGAAUGCAUGGGUUAGGGUUAUGGUUAGGGUUAGGGUUGGAGCUAGGGUUAGGGUUAGGGUUAGGGUUGGAGUUAGGGUUAGUGUUGGAGCUAGGGUUAGGGUUGGGCUUGGUACUAGGAUUUUUCUGAGUGCAAUGAACCAACCCCCGAGUCUCUAGGACGUUCCUAAAAAAAUUAGAUUUUUUCCCAUAGGAAUGCAUGGGUUAGGGUUAUGGUUAGGGUUAGGGUUGGAGCUAGGGUUAGGGUUAGGGUUAGGGUUGGAGCUAGGGUUAGGGUUAGGGUUAGGGUUGGAGUUAGGGUUAGUGUUGGAGCUAGGGUUAGGGUUGGGCUUGGAGCUAGGAUUUUUCUGAGUGCAAUGAACCAACUCCCGAGUCUCUAGGACGUUCCUAAAAAAAUGUGAGUUUUUCCCAUAGGAAUGCAUGGGUUAGGGUUAGGGUUAGGGUUGGAGCUAGGGUUAGGGUUAGGGUUAGGGUUGGAGUUAGGGUUAGUGUUGGAGCUAGGGUUAGGGUUGGGCUUGGAGCUAGGAUUUUUCUGAGUGCAAUGAACCAACUCCCGAGUCUCUAGGACGUUCCUAAAAAAAUUUGAUUUUUUCCCAUAGGAAUGCAUGGGUUAGGGUUAGGGUUAGGGUUAGGGUUGGAGCUAGGGUUAGGGUUAGGGUUAGGGUUGGAGUUAGGGUUAGUGUUGGAGCUAGGGUUAGGGUUGGGCUUGGAGCUAGGAUUUUUCUGAGUGCAAUGAACCAACUCCCGAGUCUCUAGGACGUUCCAAAAAAAAUUUGAUUUUUUCCCAUAGGAAUGCAUGGGUUAGGGUUAGGGUUAGGGUUGGAGCUAGGGUUAGGGUUAGGGUUAGGGUUGGAGUUAUGGUUAGUGUUGGAGCUAGGGUUAGGGUUUGGCUUGGAGCUAGGAUUUUUCUGAGUGCAGUGAACCAACUCCCGAGUCUCUAGGACGUUCCUAAAAAAAUUUGAUUUUUUCCCAUAGGAAUGCAUGGGUUAGGGUUAUGGUUAGGGUUAGGGUUGGAGCUAGGGUUAGGGUUAGGGUUAGGGUUGGAGUUAGGGUUAGUGUUGGAGCUAGGGUUAGGGUUGGGCUUGGAGCUAGGAUUUUUCUGAGUGCAAUGAACCAACUCCCGAGUCUCUAGGACGUUCCUAAAAAAAUUUGAUUUUUUCCCAUAGGAAUGCAUGGGUUAGGGUUAUGGUUAUGGUUAGGGUUGGAGCUAGGGUUAGGGUUAGGGUUAGGGUUGGAGUUAGGGUUAGUGUUGGAGCUAGGGUUAGGGUUGGGCUUGGAGCUAGGAUUUUUCUGAGUGCAAUGAACCAACUCCCGAGUCUCUAGGACGUUCCUAAAAAAAUUUGAUUUUUUCCCAUAGGAAUGCAUGGGUCAGGGUUAGGGUUAGGGUUGGAGCUAGGGUUAGGGUUAGGGUUAGGGUUGGAGUUAGGGUUAGUGUUGGAGCUAGGGUUAGGGUUGGGCUUGGAGCUAGGAUUUUUCUGAGUGCACUGAACCAACUCCCGAGUCUCUAGGACAUUCCUAAAAAAUUUGAUUUUUUCCCAUAGGAAUGCAUGGGUUAGGGUUAGGGUUAGGGUUGGAGCUAGGGUUAGGGUUAGGGUUAGGGUUGGAGUUAGGGUUAGUGUUGGAGCUAGGGUUAGGGUUGGGCUUGGAGCUAGGAUUUUUCUGAGUGCAAUGAACCAACUCCCGAGUCUCUAGGACGUUCCUAAAAAAAUUUGAUUUUUUCCCAUAGGAAUGCAUGGGUUAGGGUUAGGGUUAGGGUUGGAGCUAGGGUUAGGGUUAGGGUUAGGGUUAGGGUUGGAGUUAGGGUUAGUGUUGGAGCUAGGGUUAGGGUUGGGCUUGGAGCUAGGAUUUUUCUGAGUGCACUGAACCAACUCCCGAGUCUCUAGGACAUUCCUAAAAAAAUUUGAUUUUUUCCCAUAGGAAUGCAUGGGUUAGGGUUAGGGUUAGGGUUGGAGCUAGGGUUAGGGUUAGGGUUAGGGUUGGAGUUAGGGUUAGUGUUGGAGCUAGGUUUAGGGUUGGGCUUGGAGCUAGGAUUUUUCUGAGUGCACUGAACCAACUCCCGAGUCUCUAGGACAUUCCUAAAAAAAUUUGAUUUUUUCCCAUAGGAAUGCAUGGGUUAGGGUUAGGGUUAGGGUUGGAGCUAGGGUUAGGGUUAGGGUUAGGGUUGGAGUUAGGGUUAGUGUUGGAGCUAGGGUUAGGGUUGGGCUUGGAGCUAGGAUUUUUCUGAGUGCAAUGAACCAACUCCCGAGUCUCUAGGACGUUCCUAAAAAAAUUUGAUUUUUUCCCAUAGGAAUGCAUGGGUUAUGGUUAGGGUUAGGGUUGGAGCUAGGGUUAGGGUUAGGGUUAGGGUUAGGGUUGGAGUUAGGGUUAGUGUUGGGGCUAGGGUUAGGGUUGGGCUUGGAGCUAGGAUUUUUCUGAGUGCAAUGAACCAACUCCCGAGUCUCUAGGACGUUCCUAAAAAAAUUUGAUUUUUUCCCAUAGGAAUGCAUGGGUUAGGGUUAGGGUUAGGGUUGGAGCUAGGGUUAGGGUUAGGGUUAGGGUUGGAGAUAGGGUUAGUGUUGGAGCUAGGGUUAGGGUUGGGCUUGGAGCUAGGAUUUUUCUGAGUGCAAUGAACCAACUCCCGAGUCUCUAGGACGUUCCUAAAAAAAUUUGUUUUUUUCCCAUAGGAAUGCAUGGGUCAGGGUUAGGGUUAGGGUUGGAGCUAGGGUUAGGGUUAGGGUUAGGGUUGGAGUUAGGGUUAGUGUUGGAGCUAGGGUUAGGGUUGGGCUUGGAGCUAGGAUUUUUCUGAGUGCACUGAACCAACUCCCGAGUCUCUAGGACAUUCCUAAAAAAAUUUGAUUUUUUCCCAUAGGAAUGCAUGGGUUAGGGUUAGGGUUAGGGUUGGAGCUAGGGUUAGGGUUAGGGUUAGGGUUGGAGUUAGGGUUAGUGUUGGAGCUAGGGUUAGGGUUGGGCUUGGAGCUAGGAUUUUUCUGAGUGCACUGAACCAACUCCCGAGUCUCUAGGACAUUCCUAAAAAAAUUUGAUUUUUUCCCAUAGGAAUGCAUGGGUUAGGGUUAUGGUUAGGGUUAGGGUUGGAGCUAGGGUUAGGGUUAGGGUUAGGGUUGGAGUUAGGGUUGGUGUUGGAGCUAGGGUUAGGGUUGGGCUUUGAGCUAGGACUUUUCUGAGUGCAAUGAACCAACUCCCGAGUCUCUAGGACGUUCCCUAAAAAAAUUUGAUUUUUUCCCAUAGGAAUGCAUGGGUUAGGGUUAGGGUUAGGGUUAGGGUUGGAGCUAGGGUUAGGGUUAGGGUUAGGGUUGGAGUUAGGGUUAGUGUUGGAGCUAGGGUUAGGGUUGGGCUUGGAGCUAGGAUUUUUCUGAGUGCAAUGAACCAACUCCCGAGUCUCUAGGACGUUCCAAAAAAAAUUUGAUUUUUUCCCAUAGGAAUGCAUGGGUUAGGGUUAUGGUUAGGGUUAGGGUUGGAGCUAGGGUUAGGGUUAGGGUUAGGGUUGGAGUUAGGGUUAGUGUUGGAGCUAGGGUUAGGGUUGGGCUUGGAGCUAGGAUUUUUCUGAGUGCAAUGAACCAACUCCCGAGUCUCUAGGACGUUCCUAAAAAAAUUUGAUUUUUUCCCAUAGGAAUGCAUGGGUUAGGGUUAGGGUUAGGGUUGGAGCUAGGGUUAGGGUUAGGGUUAGGGUUGGAGAUAGGGUUAGUGUUGGAGCUAGGGUUAGGGUUGGGCUUGGAGCUAGGAUUUUUCUGAGUGCAAUGAACCAACUCCCGAGUCUCUAGGACGUUCCUAAAAAAAUUUGAUUUUUUCCCAUAGGAAUGCAUGGGUCAGGGUUAGGGUUAGGGUUGGAGCUAGGGUUAGGGUUAGGGUUAGGGUUGGAGUUAGGGUUAGUGUUGGAGCUAGGGUUAGGGUUGGGCUUGGAGCUAGGAUUUUUCUGAGUGCACUGAACCAACUCCCGAGUCUCUAGGACAUUCCUAAAAAAAUUUGAUUUUUUCCCAUAGGAAUGCAUGGGUUAGGGUUAGGGUUAGGGUUGGAGCUAGGGUUAGGGUUAGGGUUAGGGUUGGAGUUAGGGUUAGUGUUGGAGCUAGGGUUAGGGUUGGGCUUGGAGCUAGGAUUUUUCUGAGUGCACUGAACCAACUCCCGAGUCUCUAGGACAUUCCUAAAAAAAUUUGAUUUUUUCCCAUAGGAAUGCAUGGGUUAGGGUUAUGGUUAGGGUUAGGGUUGGAGCUAGGGUUAGGGUUAGGGUUAGGGUUGGAGUUAGGGUUGGUGUUGGAGCUAGGGUUAGGGUUGGGCUUUGGAGCUAGGACUUUUCUGAGUGCAAUGAACCAACUCCCGAGUCUCUAGGACGUUCCCUAAAAAAAUUUGAUUUUUUCCCAUAGGAAUGCAUGGGUUAGGGUUAGGGUUAGGGUUAGGGUUGGAGCUAGGGUUAGGGUUAGGGUUAGGGUUGGAGUUAGGGUUAGGGUUAGGGUUAGGGUUGGAGUUAGGGUUAGUGUUGGAGCUAGGGUUAGGGUUGGGCUUGGAGCUAGGAUUUUUCUGAGUGCAAUGAACCAACUCCCGAGUCUCUAGGACAUUCCUAAAAAAAAUUGAUUUUUUCCCAUAGGAAUGCAUGGGUUAGGGUUAUGGUUAGGGUUAGGGUUGGAGCAAGGGUUAGGGUUAGGGUUAGGGUUGGAGUUAGGGUUAGUGUUGGAGCUAGGGUUAGGGUUGGGCUUGGAGCUAGGACUUUUCUGAGUGCAAUGAACCAACUCCCGAGUCUCUAGGACGUUCCCUAAAAAAAUUUGAUUUUUUCCCAUAGGAAUGCAUGGGUUAGGGUUAGGGUUAGGGUUGGAGCUAGGGUUAGGGUUAGGGUUAGGGUUGGAGUUAGGGUUAGUGUUGGAGCUAGGGUUAGGGUUGGGCUUGGAGCUAGGAUUUUUCUGAGUGCAAUGAACCAACUCCCGAGUCUCUAGGACGUUCCUAAAAAAUUUUGAUUUUUUCCCAUAGGAAUGCAUGGGUUAGGGUUAGGGUUAGGGUUAGGGUUGGAGCUAGGGUUAGGGUUAGGGUUAGGGUUGGAGUUAGGGUUAGUGUUGGAGCUAGGGUUAGGGUUGGGCUUGGAGCUAGGAUUUUUCUGAGUGCAAUGAACCAACUCCCGAGUCUCUAGGACGUUCCAAAAAAAAUUUGAUUUUUUCCCAUAGGAAUGCAUGGGUUAGGGUUAGGGUUAGGGUUGGAGCUAGGGUUAGGGUUAGGGUUAGGGUUGGAGUUAAGGUUAGUGUUGGAGCUAGGGUUAGGGUUUGGCUUGGAGCUAGGAUUUUUCUGAGUGCAGUGAACCAACUCCCGAGUCUCUAGGACGUUCCUAAAAAAAUUUGAUUUUUUCCCAUAGGAAUGCAUGGGUUAGGGUUAUGGUUAGGGUUAGGGUUGGAGCUAGGGUUAGGGUUAGGGUUAGGGUUGGAGUUAGGGUUAGUGUUGGAGCUAGGGUUAGGGUUGGGCUUGGAGCUAGGAUUUUUCUGAGUGCAAUGAACCAACUCCCGAGUCUCUAGGACGUUCCUAAAAAAAUUUGAUUUUUUCCCAUAGGAAUGCAUGGGUUAGGGUUAUGGUUAGGGUUAGGGUUGGAGCUAGGGUUAGGGUUAGGGUUAGGGUUAGGGUUGGAGUUAGGGUUAGUGUUGGAGCUAGGGUUAGGGUUGGGCUUGGAGCUAGGAUUUUUCUGAGUGCAAUGAACCAACUCCCGAGUCUCUAGGACGUUCCUAAAAAAAUUUGAUUUUUUCCCAUAGGAAUGCAUGGGUCAGGGUUAGGGUUAGGGUUGGAGCUAGGGUUAGGGUUAGGGUUAGGGUUGGAGUUAGGGUUAGUGUUGGAGCUAGGGUUAGGGUUGGGCUUGGAGCUAGGAUUUUUCUGAGUGCACUGAACCAACUCCCGAGUCUCUAGGACAUUCCUAAAAAAAUUUGAUUUUUUCCCAUAGGAAUGCAUGGGUUAGGGUUAGGGUUAGGGUUGGAGCUAGGGUUGGGGUUAGGGUUAGGGUUGGAGUUAGGGUUAGUGUUGGAGCUAGGGUUAGGGUUGGGCUUGGAGCUAGGAUUUUUCUGAGUGCAAUGAACCAACUCCCGAGUCUCUAGGACGUUCCUAAAAAAAUUUGAUUUUUUCCCAUAGGAAUGCAUGGGUUAGGGUUAGGGUUAGGGUUGGAGCUAGGGUUAGGGUUAGGGUUAGGGUUAGGGUUGGAGUUAGGGUUAGUGUUGGAGCUAGGGUUAGGGUUGGGCUUGGAGCUAGGAUUUUUCUGAGUGCACUGAACCAACUCCCGAGUCUCUAGGACAUUCCUAAAAAAAUUUGAUUUUUUCCCAUAGGAAUGCAUGGGUUAGGGUUAGGGUUAGGGUUGGAGCUAGGGUUAGGGUUAGGGUUAGGGUUGGAGUUAGGGUUAGUGUUGGAGCUAGGUUUAGGGUUGGGCUUGGAGCUAGGAUUUUUCUGAGUGCACUGAACCAACUCCCGAGUCUCUAGGACAUUCCUAAAAAAAUUUGAUUUUUUCCCAUAGGAAUGCAUGGGUUAGGGUUAGGGUUAGGGUUGGAGCUAGGGUUAGGGUUAGGGUUAGGGUUGGAGUUAGGGUUAGUGUUGGAGCUAGGGUUAGGGUUGGGCUUGGAGCUAGGAUUUUUCUGAGUGCAAUGAACCAACUCCCGAGUCUCUAGGACGUUCCUAAAAAAAUUUGAUUUUUUCCCAUAGGAAUGCAUGGGUUAUGGUUAGGGUUAGGGUUGGAGCUAGGGUUAGGGUUAGGGUUAGGGUUAGGGUUGGAGUUAGGGUUAGUGUUGGGGCUAGGGUUAGGGUUGGGCUUGGAGCUAGGAUUUUUCUGAGUGCAAUGAACCAACUCCCGAGUCUCUAGGACGUUCCUAAAAAAAUUUGAUUUUUUCCCAUAGGAAUGCAUGGGUUAGGGUUAGGGUUAGGGUUGGAGCUAGGGUUAGGGUUAGGGUUAGGGUUGGAGAUAGGGUUAGUGUUGGAGCUAGGGUUAGGGUUGGGCUUGGAGCUAGGAUUUUUCUGAGUGCAAUGAACCAACUCCCGAGUCUCUAGGACGUUCCUAAAAAAAUUUGUUUUUUUCCCAUAGGAAUGCAUGGGUCAGGGUUAGGGUUAGGGUUGGAGCUAGGGUUAGGGUUAGGGUUAGGGUUGGAGUUAGGGUUAGUGUUGGAGCUAGGGUUAGGGUUGGGCUUGGAGCUAGGAUUUUUCUGAGUGCACUGAACCAACUCCCGAGUCUCUAGGACAUUCCUAAAAAAAUUUGAUUUUUUCCCAUAGGAAUGCAUGGGUUAGGGUUAGGGUUAGGGUUGGAGCUAGGGUUAGGGUUAGGGUUAGGGUUGGAGUUAGGGUUAGUGUUGGAGCUAGGGUUAGGGUUGGGCUUGGAGCUAGGAUUUUUCUGAGUGCACUGAACCAACUCCCGAGUCUCUAGGACAUUCCUAAAAAAAUUUGAUUUUUUCCCAUAGGAAUGCAUGGGUUAGGGUUAUGGUUAGGGUUAGGGUUGGAGCUAGGGUUAGGGUUAGGGUUAGGGUUGGAGUUAGGGUUGGUGUUGGAGCUAGGGUUAGGGUUGGGCUUUGAGCUAGGACUUUUCUGAGUGCAAUGAACCAACUCCCGAGUCUCUAGGACGUUCCCUAAAAAAAUUUGAUUUUUUCCCAUAGGAAUGCAUGGGUUAGGGUUAGGGUUAGGGUUAGGGUUGGAGCUAGGGUUAGGGUUAGGGUUAGGGUUGGAGUUAGGGUUAGUGUUGGAGCUAGGGUUAGGGUUGGGCUUGGAGCUAGGAUUUUUCUGAGUGCAAUGAACCAACUCCCGAGUCUCUAGGACGUUCCAAAAAAAAUUUGAUUUUUUCCCAUAGGAAUGCAUGGGUUAGGGUUAUGGUUAGGGUUAGGGUUGGAGCUAGGGUUAGGGUUAGGGUUAGGGUUGGAGUUAGGGUUAGUGUUGGCGCUAGGGUUAGGGUUGGGCUUGGAGCUAGGAUUUUUCUGAGUGCAAUGAACCAACUCCCGAGUCUCUAGGACGUUCCUAAAAAAAUUUGAUUUUUUCCCAUAGGAAUGCAUGGGUUAGGGUUAGGGUUAGGGUUGGAGCUAGGGUUAGGGUUAGGGUUAGGGUUGGAGAUAGGGUUAGUGUUGGAGCUAGGGUUAGGGUUGGGCUUGGAGCUAGGAUUUUUCUGAGUGCAAUGAACCAACUCCCGAGUCUCUAGGACGUUCCUAAAAAAAUUUGAUUUUUUCCCAUAGGAAUGCAUGGGUCAGGGUUAGGGUUAGGGUUGGAGCUAGGGUUAGGGUUAGGGUUAGGGUUGGAGUUAGGGUUAGUGUUGGAGCUAGGGUUAGGGUUGGGCUUGGAGCUAGGAUUUUUCUGAGUGCACUGAACCAACUCCCGAGUCUCUAGGACAUUCCUAAAAAAAUUUGAUUUUUUCCCAUAGGAAUGCAUGGGUUAGGGUUAGGGUUAGGGUUGGAGCUAGGGUUAGGGUUAGGGUUAGGGUUGGAGUUAGGGUUAGUGUUGGAGCUAGGGUUAGGGUUGGGCUUGGAGCUAGGAUUUUUCUGAGUGCACUGAACCAACUCCCGAGUCUCUAGGACAUUCCUAAAAAAAUUAGAUUUUUUCCCAUAGGAAUGCAUGGGUUAGGGUUAUGGUUAGGGUUAGGGUUGGAGCUAGGGUUAGGGUUAGGGUUAGGGUUGGAGUUAGGGUUGGUGUUGGAGCUAGGGUUAGGGUUGGGCUUUGAGCUAGGACUUUUCUGAGUGCAAUGAACCAACUCCCGAGUCUCUAGGACGUUCCCUAAAAAAAUUUGAUUUUUUCCCAUAGGAAUGCAUGGGUUAGGGUUAGGGUUAGGGUUAGGGUUGGAGCUAGGGUUAGGGUUAGGGUUAGGGUUAGAGUUAGGGUUAGUGUUGGAGCUAGGGUUAGGGUUGGGCUUGGAGCUAGGAUUUUUCUGAGUGCACUGAACCAACUCCCGAGUCUCUAGGACAUUCCUAAAAAAAAUUGACUUUUUCCCAUAGGAAUGCAUGGGUUAGGGUUAGGGUUAGGGUUAGGGUUGGAGCUAGGGUUAGGGUUAGGGUUAGGGUUGGAGUUAGGGUUAGUGUUGGAGCUAGGGUUAGGGUUGGGCUUGGAGCUAGGACUUUUCUGAGUGCAAUGAACCAACUCCCGAGUCUCUAGGACGUUCCCUAAAAAAAUUUGAUUUUUUCCCAUAGGAAUGCAUGGGUUAGGGUUAGGUGUGGGGUUGGAGCUAGGGUUAGGGUUAGGGUUAGGGUUGGAGUUAGGGUUAGUGUUGGAGCUAGGGUUAGGUUUGGGCUUGGAGCUAGGAUUUUUCUGAGUGCAAUGAACCAACUCCCGAGUCUCUAGGACGUUCCUAAAAAAUUUUGAUUUUUUCCCAUAGGAAUGCAUGGGUUAGGGUUAGGGUUAGGGUUGGAGCUAGGGUUAGGGUUAGGGUUAGGGUUGGAGUUAGGGUUAGUGUUGGAGCUAGGGUUAGGGUUGGGCUUGGAGCUAGGAUUUUUCUGAGUGCAAUGAACCAACUCCCGAGUCUCUAGGAAGUUCCUAAAAAAAUUUGAUUUUUUCCCAUAGGAAUGCAUGGGUUAGGGUUAGGGUUAGGGUUGGAGCUAGGGUUAGGGUUAGGGUUAGGGUUGGAGUUAGGGUUAGUGUUGGAGCGAGGGUUAGGGUUGGGCUUGGAGCUAGGAUUUUUCUGAGUGCAAUGAACCAACUCCCGAGUCUCUAGGACGUUCCUAAAAAAAUUUGAUUUUUUCCCAUAGGAAUGCAUGGGUUAGGGUUAGGGUUAGGGUUGGAGCUAGGGUUAGGGUUAGGGUUAGGGUUGGAGUUAGGGUUAGUGUUGGAGCUAGGGUUAGGGUUGGGCUUGGAGCUAGGAUUUUUCUGAGUGCAAUGAACCAACUCCCGAGUCUCUAGGACGUUCCUAAAAAAAUUUGAUUUUUUCCCAUAGGAAUGCAUGGGUUAGGGUUAGGGUUAGGGUUGGAGCUAGGGUUAGGGUUAGGGUUAGGGUUGGAGUUAGGGUUAGUGUUAGAGCUAGGGUAAGGUUUGGGCUUGGAGCUAGGAUUUUUCUGAGUGCAAUGAACCAACUCCCGAGUCUCUAGGACGUUCCUAAAAAAAUUUGAUUUUUUUCCAUAGGAAUGCAUGGGUUAGGGUUAUGGUUAGGGUUAGGGUUGGAGCUAGGGUUAGGGUUAGGGUUAGGGUUGGAGUUAGGGUUAGUGUUGGAGCUAGGGUUAGGGUUGGGCUUGGAGCUAGGAUUUAUCUGAGUGCAAUGAACCAA
This is a non-coding RNA of Xyrichtys novacula (pearly razorfish), 17633 nucleotides long. The record is from the annotation of a GenBank genome assembly. NCBI's taxonomy places the organism in Eukaryota, Metazoa, Chordata, Actinopteri, Labriformes, Labridae.